GCGGGAAUAGCUCAGUUGGUAGUGCACGUCCUUGCCAAGGUCGGGGUCGCGAGUUCGAGUCUCGUUUCCCUCUCCA
This 76-nucleotide transfer RNA is filed under the name Aeromonas salmonicida. RNAcentral describes it as "tRNA-Gly". It matches the Rfam family "tRNA". Rfam says of the family: Transfer RNA (tRNA) molecules are approximately 80 nucleotides in length. The record is from RNAcentral. Lineage: Bacteria; Pseudomonadati; Pseudomonadota; Gammaproteobacteria; Aeromonadales; Aeromonadaceae.